RNAcentral lists this ribosomal RNA (238 nucleotides) under uncultured bacterium. RNAcentral describes it as "partial 16S ribosomal RNA". It matches the Rfam family "Bacterial small subunit ribosomal RNA", at positions 95 to 334 of the family's 1533-position model. The record is from RNAcentral.
CCGGCGCACGGGUGAGUAACGCGUAUGCAACCUGCCCGAUACCGGGGUAUAGCCCAUGGAGACGUGGAUUAACACCCCAUAGUACUUUUAUCCUGCAUGGGAUGUGAGUUAAAUGUUCAAGGUAUCGGAUGGGCAUGCGUCCUAUUAGUUAGUUGGCGGGGUAACAGCCCACCAAGACGAUGAUAGGUAGGGGUUCUGAGAGGAAGGUCCCCCACAUUGGAACUGAGACACGGUCCAA